GAUGAACGCUGGCGGCGUGCUUAACACAUGCAAGUCGAACGAUGAAAGCGGGAGCUUGCUCCUGCUGGAUUAGUGGCGAACGGGUGAGUAACACGUGAGUAACCUGCCCUUGACUCUGGGAUAAGCGUUGGAAACGACGUCUAAUACCGGAUACGACCUUCGGAGGCAUCUCCUGGGGUGGAAGAAUUUCGGUCAAGGAUGGACUCGCGGCCUAUCAGCUAGUUGGUGAGGUAAUGGCUCACCAAGGCGACGACGGGUAGCCGGCCUGAGAGGGUGGACCGGCCACACUGGGACUGAGACACGGCCCAGACUCCUACGGGAGGCAGCAGUGGGGGAAUAUUGCACAAUGGGCGCAAGCCUGAUGCAG
This 367-nucleotide ribosomal RNA is filed under the name uncultured bacterium. RNAcentral describes it as "bacterial SSU rRNA". It matches the Rfam family "Bacterial small subunit ribosomal RNA", at positions 28 to 391 of the family's 1533-position model. The record is from RNAcentral.